This 66-nucleotide transfer RNA is filed under the name Bironella derooki. RNAcentral's name for it is "tRNA-Cys". Lineage: Eukaryota; Metazoa; Arthropoda; Insecta; Diptera; Culicidae. The record is from RNAcentral.
AGGCUUUAUAGUCAAUAAUGAUGUUAGACUGCAAUUCUAAAGGAAUAAGUAAUUUAUUUAAGCUUA